RNAcentral lists this transfer RNA (65 nucleotides) under Tetraphalerus bruchi. RNAcentral describes it as "tRNA-Asp". It matches the Rfam family "tRNA". Rfam says of the family: Transfer RNA (tRNA) molecules are approximately 80 nucleotides in length. Their secondary structure includes four short double-helical elements and three loops (D, anti-codon, and T loops). Further hydrogen bonds mediate the characteristic L-shaped molecular structure. tRNAs have two regions of fundamental functional importance: the anti-codon, which is responsible for specific mRNA codon recognition, and the 3' end, to which the tRNAs corresponding amino acid is attached (by aminoacyl-tRNA synthetases). tRNAs cope with the degeneracy of the genetic code in two manners: having more than one tRNA (with a specific anti-codon) for a particular amino acid; and 'wobble' base-pairing, i.e. permitting non-standard base-pairing at the 3rd anti-codon position. The record is from RNAcentral. Lineage: Eukaryota; Metazoa; Arthropoda; Insecta; Coleoptera; Ommatidae.
GAAGAAUUAGUUAAAGAAAUAACAUUAGAUUGUCAAACUGAAGUCAUUAUAAAUAAUAUUCUUCU